ACCCCCAGCAAUGGGCAGAGACACCUUGUUGGUGGUGUUCUUAUACCAGUCAGGGGCAAAGCAGAUGGCAGCCCUUUGUUUCAUCCUAGCUUGAUGGGCGUCUUGAUGACUAAAGCUAUUUUAUGCCUAGGACAUAUAA
Small nucleolar RNA from Mastomys coucha (southern multimammate mouse), 139 nucleotides. RefSeq annotates it as small nucleolar RNA SNORA48. Lineage: Eukaryota; Metazoa; Chordata; Mammalia; Rodentia; Muridae. The transcript has a single exon. The record is from RefSeq and is a predicted model, not a curated record.